GAGUUUGAUCGUGGCUCAGGACGAACGCUGGCGGCGUGCCUAAUACAUGCAAGUCGAACGAGGUUUCCUUAAUGAUAGUUGGUGCUUGCAUCAAUUUGACUUAAGAUCUAACCGAGUGGCGAACUGGUGAGUAACACGUGGGGAACCUGCCCUUAAGUAGGGGAUAACAUUUGGAAACAAAUGCUAAUACCGUAUAACAACAUAAACCACAUGGUUUAUGUUUGAAAGAUGGCUCUGCUAUCGCUUUUGGAUGGACCCGCGGCGUAUUAGCUAGUUGGUGAGAUAAUGGCUCACCAAGGCGAUGAUACGUAGCCGACCUGAGAGGGUAAUCGGCCACAUUGGAACUGAGACACGGUCCAGACUCCUACGGGAGGCAGCAGUGGGGAAUAUUGCACAAUGGGCGGAAGCCUGAUGCAGCGACGCCGCGUGGGGGA
This 434-nucleotide ribosomal RNA is filed under the name uncultured Lactobacillus sp. RNAcentral's name for it is "bacterial SSU rRNA". It matches the Rfam family "Bacterial small subunit ribosomal RNA", at positions 9 to 408 of the family's 1533-position model. The record is from RNAcentral. Lineage: Bacteria; Bacillati; Bacillota; Bacilli; Lactobacillales; Lactobacillaceae.